GCCACCCUCACUUCUGGAAUUACAUAUUCACUAUUGUCUAUUGCUAAAAAAACAGUGGAGAAGAGGUAAAGGGAAGUAUUGCUCAAAGAUAGCUCACAUCCCUAAAGUUGAAAUGGAUUUCAAAUUCAUCUUCAACUCAAAGGAGGAAGAAAGAAGCGAUUCAGAGUAGGAAGAACUGAGCUUAAUUAAUUGAAUUCAAAGCAUGCAGUCAGAUAAUCAAGAUAAUCGUCAACGAGACAAUCACAGUGGUACUUUGUACAGUGGCAAAACUUGGAACUAUUUUGGCUCUCAAAUUGAAGAAUAUCAAUCAGAGAACUGUCUCAUUCCAAUCUAGAUAUGAAUUUCAUUUCAGAUGAUCACUUUGUUUUGAUUGAGGGCGAAUGAGAGUAGACUACGAUUGGGAAGACUUAAAUUUUCCGUCUCCAAUUUCAUUCUAUCAAAUGUCAUGCUAAAACAAGGAUUGGCUGUCCUGAUCGCGGCUUUUGUUAACUAAAUGAGGAUCACAACGUGGAGAUUUGAAGAUGAAGUAGCCCUUAUAAGCCCAAAUUUGGCUUAAUUCUUAAGGCACUCCUCUGUACUAAAAGUAACUCUCUUCGGUAAGAUGAAGGUGCUGUUUUUAAAAAGAGGCAUGGCGAGCACCAUGACCCAAGUCCAUGUAAAAAAGGAAGAUAUGGUGAGAGCAAAAUCAAGCAAUGGACCUUUACAUAUCCUAUAGAAGAACUGGCUGAAAUAUUUGAUGUUCAUUAGUUGAAAACACGUUAGAUAUUCUUUCUCUUGUUAAGUAGACUUAUGCUUACCUUUUCUCAACAAGACUGUCUUUUUUGUCUGUGAGAGCACGUCUACUUAAUCGUAUUUAUUAAUGUUCAAGGUGAAUCCUAGGAUUUGAGUGAUGAAAUCAACACAGCUUUAAUAGAGUGAUGCAUCACCUUGGGUGAAAGAGUUGAAGUAUAUGUGGCUUGCACUGGCUAUUACCAAAAAAAGAGUUGAGCUGCUAAUCAGUUCCUAUGUUGGAUAUUAAAAAGUGCAAAAAUCUCCAAUAUUACAUCUCUUGAACUUCUGGAGGUCAGAAGAUGUUCUCUGUUUGAAUCUGUUGCCAGAGAAGGUUUGCAAGAUAUGAUCAUCUCAACUCCUUACAGAAUGUCUUAUCGAUGCCUGUCCCCUAACUUGGUGCAAGAAAGAAAAAGUGAAGACCAGUCCAAAAUACACCAUGUCCAUUUAAGGGAGGAUAGAUAGCAAGAAGUCUCUUGGAGAAACUGGUUAAGUGAUUUAGCCAAGAUGACUCGAGAUUUGAAGAAAAUAUGAAGAGGGUUACUAACCUCUAGAUCGUUGCUUCACAGACUUAGGGGCUCCAUUCAGUCUCUAUGGCACCAUGAACUUAUUGUGAUGAUAAGAGGAAUCUGAAGCUUGAAAAAUUGCAGUGACAGGGCAGCAAUGUAGCCACCUGAGUUGAGAUAGUUUCUUCUUCCAAUGAAAAUAAAUUUGUUAGGAGACAGAGACUAUAGAAGAAAGUGAUAUCUUUUGGUAUUUGUGUGCAAAAAGCGGGAGUGUUAAAUGAAAUAUGAGAGACAAGUGUAUGAGGGUUUUGGAUUUGGGUUUAGGCUUUAACAUGAGUAUAUUAGACUUGUACUUUUAUUCCCUAUUUUAGUCAUUUGACUUAUAUCUCAUGGAUGUAGGCAUGAUUUGUUGAACCACAUA
Pistacia vera is the source of this 1695-nucleotide long non-coding RNA. RefSeq lists it as uncharacterized. The record is from RefSeq and is a predicted model, not a curated record. Lineage: Eukaryota; Viridiplantae; Streptophyta; Magnoliopsida; Sapindales; Anacardiaceae. The transcript is spliced from 9 exons.